AGGCCUAUAGUUUAACUGGUAGAGCACACCGCUCAUAACGGUGAAUGUGUAGGUUCGAGCCCUACUAGGCCUA
Molecule: non-coding RNA, 73 nt
Organism: Klebsormidium nitens
Lineage: Eukaryota; Viridiplantae; Streptophyta; Klebsormidiophyceae; Klebsormidiales; Klebsormidiaceae
Source: Rfam